GGGUGAUAGAUAUACAGAGUUGUGAUAGAUAUACAGAGUGAUGAGAAAUAUACAAAGUGAUGAUAGAUAUACAGAGUGGUGGUAGAUAUACAAAGUGGUGAUAGAUAUACAGAGUGGUGAUAGAUAUAUAGAGUGGUGGUAGCUAUACAGAUUUGUGAUUGAUUUAAAGAGUGGUGAUAAAUAAACAGAGUGGUGAUAUAUAUAAAGAGUGGUAAUUGAUGUACAGAGAGUGGUGAUAGAUAUACAGAUUGAUGAUAGAUAUAAAAACGUAGUGAUAUACAAAGUGGUUUUAGAUAAUAGAGUGGUGAUAGAUAUAUAGAUGGGAGAAAACAGAGUGAUGGUCGAUAUACAGAUUGGUGAUAGAUAUACAAAGUGGUGAAAGAUAUAAAGAGAGGUGAUAGAUAGACAGGGGGUGAAGAUAUACCAGAGUGAUGAGAAAUAACAAGUAUGAUAGAUAUACAGAGUGUGUAGAUAUACAAAGUGUGAUAGACACGAGUGGUGAGAUAUAUAGAGUGGUGUAGCUAUACAGAUUUGUGAUGAUUUAAAGAGUGGUGAUAUAUAUAAAGGUCGUAUUGAUAUCAGAGAGUGUGAUAGAUAUACGAUUGAUGAUAGAUAUAAAAACGUAGUGAUAUACAAAGUGGUUUUAGAUAAUAGAUGUGGAGAAAAUAGAUGGGAAAUACAGAUUGUGAUAGAUAUACAAGUGGUGAAGAUAUAGAAUGUGAAGAAUAAAGAGGGUGAUAGAUAUACAGAGUGGGAUAGAUAUACAGAGUAUGAGAAAUAUACAGAGUGGUAGAGAUAUAAGAUUGUGUAUAUAUACGAAUGUGUAGAUAUACAGAUAAUGAUAGAUAUCAAAAGGUAGUGAAGACAGUACAAAUGGGUUAAGAUAUACAGGGUGUGAUAGAAUAUGAUAGAUAUGGUGAUAGAUAUACUACAGAGUGGUGAGAGAAGAUUGUCGAUAUAUAUACAGAAUAGAUAUACAGUGAUAGAUAUCAAAAGGUAGUGAUAGACAUACAGAGGGUGGAUAGAUAUAUAGAUUGGGAUAGAUAACAGGUAGCUAUACAGAGAUAGAUUUACAGAGUAGUGAUAUAUAUACGGAGUGGUGAUAGAUAUACAGAGUGGUGAUAAAUGAACAGAGUGGUGAUAUAUAUAAAGAGUGGUAAUAGAUGUACAGAGGUGGUGAUAGAUAUACAGAUUGGUGAUAGAUAUAAAAUCGUUGUGAUAAACAAAGUGGUUUUAGAUAAAUAGAGUGGUGAUAGAUGUAUAGAUGGGAUAGAUAUACAGAGAAAUGAUCGAUAUACAGAGUGGUGAUAGAUACAUAAAGUGGUGAAAGAUAUAAAGAGAGGUGAUAGAUAGACAGAGGGGUGAUAGAUAUACGAGAUAUACAGAGUGAUGGAAAUAUACAAGUGAAUAGAUAUACAGAGUGGGUAGAUAUACAAAGUGUGAUAGAUAUAUAGAGUGUGGUAGUUGCAGAUUUGUGAUUGAUUUAAAGAGUGGUGAUAAAUAACGGUGGUGAUAUAUAUAAAGAGUGGUAUUGUGUACAGAAGUGGUGAUAGAUAUAUAGAUUGAUAUAGAUAUAAAAACGUAUGAUAUACAAAGUGGUUUUAGAUAAAUAGAGUGGUGAUAGAAUAUAGAUGGGAGAAAACAGAGUGAUGGCGAUAUACAGAUUGGUGAUGAUAUAAAGUGGUGAAAGAUAUAAAGAGAGGUGAUAGAUAGACAGAGGGGUGAUAGAUAUACAGAGUUGUGAUAGAUAUACAGAGUGAUGAGAAAUAUACAAAGUGAUGAUAGAUAUAC
Molecule: long non-coding RNA, 1791 nt
Filed under: Mytilus galloprovincialis (Mediterranean mussel)
Lineage: Eukaryota; Metazoa; Mollusca; Bivalvia; Mytilida; Mytilidae
Source: RNAcentral